RNAcentral lists this non-coding RNA (24 nucleotides) under Rattus norvegicus (Norway rat). The record is from RNAcentral. Lineage: Eukaryota; Metazoa; Chordata; Mammalia; Rodentia; Muridae.
UAGAAGAUCUAAUGAUGAGGGAGG